RNAcentral lists this ribosomal RNA (501 nucleotides) under uncultured bacterium. Its description in RNAcentral is "bacterial SSU rRNA". It matches the Rfam family "Bacterial small subunit ribosomal RNA", at positions 899 to 1397 of the family's 1533-position model. The record is from RNAcentral.
ACUCAAAGGAAUUGACGGGGACCCGCACAAGCGGUGGAGCAUGUGGUUCAAUUCGAUGCAACGCGAAGAACCUUACCUGGGCUUGAACUGCUAUUGCAACGACUGGAAACAGGCGUGCCCUUCGGGGACGGUAGCAGAGGUGCUGCACGGCUGUCGUCAGCUCGUGCCGUGAGGUGUUGGGUUAAGUCCCGCAACGAGCGCAACCCUUGUCCCAUAGUUGCCAGCGGAUAAUGCCGGGCACUCUAGGGAGACUGCCGGUGAUAAACCGGAGGAAGGUGGGGAUGACGUCAAGUCAGCGUGGCCUUUAUGUCCAGGGCUACACACGUGCUACAAUGGCCGGUACAAAGGGCUGCGAAGGCGUGAGCCGGAGCCAAUCCCAAAAAGCCGGUCUCAGUUCGGAUUGAAGUCUGCAACUCGACUUCAUGAAGCUGGAAUCGCUAGUAAUCGCGGAUCAGCUACGCCGUGGUGAAUACGUUCCCGGGUCUUGCACACACCGCCCGU